CACUUCCUCCGCGGUGCCGUUGAAUAUGUUUGGUCGUGGGAUGUCGCGGGGGUAAGUGAAGGUGACCUUGGCGGGGUUUGGAAGUCGUCUGUUGUGUAGUGUCAACAAAUUAAGUUUCAAACAUGGCAGAUCAAGAUCCAGAUACGAGUCAAAGACGUUUCAUAGAGAGAGGUUCACACAAAGGCAAAGGCAUUGCAGUUCUUACCAGUGGAGGAGAUUCUCAGGGAAUGAAUGCUGCUGUUCGUGCUGUUGUAAGAUUUGGUAUAUAUUUGGGUUGCAAAGUAUUCUUCAUCAGGGAAGGUUACCAAGGAAUGGUUGAUGGUGGAGAACACAUAGAAGAGGCUGGAUGGUCUAGUGUUUCCUCUAUCAUUCAUAAGGGAGGAACUGUAAUUGGUUCCGCAAGGUGUAUGGACUUUAGAGAACGUGAAGGCCGCUUAAAGGCUGCAAAAAACCUUGUGACCAGAGCGAUUACAAAUCUUGUUGUGAUUGGUGGAGAUGGUUCACUCACAGGGGCAAAUCUCUUCCGACAAGAAUGGCCCUCUCUUCUUGAUGAACUACUGCAAAAGGGCGAAAUCACAAAAGAAAGCAGAGAAAAGUACACAUAUCUUCAUAUUGCUGGUUUGGUGGGUUCCAUAGACAAUGAUUUCUGUGGUACUGACAUGACCAUUGGUACGGAUUCUGCCCUUCAUCGAAUUAUUGAGGCUGUUGAUGCCAUAGUCUCAACAGCUUUCUCACAUCAGCGCACAUUUAUUAUGGAGGUCAUGGGACGACAUUGUGGAUAUUUAGCGCUGGUGACUGCCCUGACAAGUGAAGCUGAUUUUGUGUUUAUUCCUGAAUGGCCACCAGAGCAUGAUUGGCCAACUAAACUCUGCAAGAAGUUAGCACAGGAGCGGCUUGCAGGCCAACGGUUAAACAUUAUUAUUGUUGCGGAAGGAGCUAUAGACCGUGAUGGACAACCGAUUACUUCAGAGAAAGUGAAACAGGUUGUUGUAGAAAACUUGCAGCAAGACACCCGUAUAACUGUACUUGGACAUGUGCAGCGAGGUGGCAAUCCAUCUGCAUUUGACCGAAUAUUGGGCUGCCGUAUGGGAGCUGAGGCAGUUCUGGCUUUGAUGGAAGCAACACCAGGUUCCGAAGGAGUUCUUAUCUCUCUAGCUGGUAAUCAGGCUGUUCGGUUGCCAUUAAUGGAAUGUGUAGAAAGGACAAAAGCUGUUGCAAAAGCUAUGGCUGACAAACAAUGGGAUAAAGCAGUUCAGCUUAGAGGCAGGAGUUUUGAAAGAAAUCUGUACAUCUACAAAAUGCUGACAAGACUAAAACCUCCUACUCCAGUUGGUGAUGCUGUACAGCAAGAUUCUGUUCUCGGCAUGGAAUCCUUCACUUUGGCAGUUAUGCACAUUGGAGCACCAGCUUGUGGAAUGAAUGCUGCUGUGAGAUCAUUUGUCAGAAAUUGCCUUUACCGCGGUGUGACAGUUCUUGGAAUUCAUGAUGGUAUUGAAGGUCUAGUGGCUGGUAAUAUUAGUAAAAUGGCAUGGUCAGAUGUGACUGGUUGGGUUUCUUUGGGUGGUGCCAUGCUGGGGACAAAACGUACUCUGCCUGGAAAUAGAAUAAAGCAAAUUGCAGCUCGCUUCAAGGAAUUCAACAUCCAAGGCCUUCUCAUUAUUGGCGGUUUUGAGGCUUACCAAGGUGCGCUGCAACUUGUAGAGAGCAGGCCAACACAACCAGAGUUCUGCAUACCAAUUGCUGUUAUUCCUUCAACAAUAAGUAAUAAUGUUCCAGGCACAGAAUUUUCCUUGGGUUGUGAUACAGCACUUAAUGAAAUUACAGAGAUUUGUGACAGAAUCCGGCAGUCUGCCCAGGGCACAAAGAGAAGAGUGUUUGUCAUAGAAACUAUGGGAGGCUACUGUGGAUACCUCGCUACACUAGCAGCUCUUGCUGGAGGCGCUGAUGCGGCAUACAUAUUCGAAGAGAAAUUUUCGAUAAAAGAUCUACAGCAAGAUGUGUACCACAUGGCAUCCAAAAUGGCUGAAGGUGUCCAGAGAGGCCUUAUUCUUAGAAAUGAAAAAUGCAAUGAAAACUACACAACAGAUUUCAUUUAUCGUUUGUACUCUGAAGAAGGAAAGGGGCUUUUUAGUGCUCGAAUGAAUGUAUUAGGUCACAUGCAACAAGGAGGAUAUCCAACACCAUUCGACCGUAAUAUGGGGACAAAGAUGGGAGCAAAAACGGUUGAAUGGAUGUUCCAGAAACUAAAAGAAUCUUCCAAAGGUGAUGGCACUGUAUAUACUGCAACACCAGAUUCUGCUACACUGCUUGGAGUAUUGAGAAGACAGUAUACAUUCAGUCCACUGGAAGAACUAAAGAAAGGCACAAAUUUUGAUUACCGUAUACCAAAGAAUCAGUGGUGGCUAAAAUUACGUCCUCUGUUAAGAAUUUUGUCAAAACAUGAGAGUGCAUAUGAAGAAGAAGGCUUGUACAUGACCAUAGAACAAGCAGAAGAAGAUGACAAAACAGUAGCAAAAUAAGACAGACGGUAAUUCUUGAAGCUCUUAUCACCAAACAAGUAGUCUAUAUACCUUUACCGUUUUUCUCCCUUUGAUUAUGUUCAACGAGAACAAAGGUCUCUUUUAUUUUCUAGAACCACAAAAAUUGUGUUACAGACGAAACAAUGUGAUUGAAACAUAUUUUGGGGGAAUACACUUUUUAUGUUAAGAGUUUCUAAUGUAGAAUGAUCUGGGAUGGUAACCAGUAUGUGCAAAGACAUACUUUUUUUUUCUUUUAUUUGUCCUGCUGCUUUCUUGUAUUUUUAGCAAUUGUUUUGUUUCUGGUACAUUGAUUUCACAUAGAUCUGUAAUUAUAAUUGCCUUUUGUAACUUACAAAAAAACCUAAUAUAGAAGGCUUGUUCAUCUAUAGCACAAGUAUACUACACAAUGUGAAAGAUAAUACUGUGUUUUUUUCUUGCCAAACGGUUAAGUUGAGUGCUAUUUUAGAAGUUACAAGUUCUUAUAUUGUGUUGAUAUUGUAAUUAAUUUCUCCAGUGUCGUUGUAUACUAAAAAACCAAAAAUGUAGCCUUUAUAGAGUCCUUUAUAUCUAAAAUUGUUAUUUUAAUCUUGAAAAGAAUUUUAUGGUGAAGGUGUGGUGUUGUAUAGACAAUUAUUUUUUUAAAGUACUUGUGUUAUCCUCUGGUAGGAAUGCACUACUCUCAGUUGUUGACUGUUAUUUAUUUUAUAUAUUGUUGAUUACUUAUUUAUACUCUUUUAACUGAUGUAGUGAAUGCAUUCCACUAUACUUCUCCCCACUUUUCCUUUUUUUGUUUCUACUUCACAUAACUGUCAAAAAUACUGUUCAUAGUGUGGGAAAAUGGCAGUGUUAAUUUUCUGAAGCUUGCACACGCAAUGUAAAUUAUCUUUUGUCGUAUUAAUUUUAUAACUUCAAUAUUUCUUCAGAUGCCUUCGAGAUGCUGCAUUUUCAUUCAGAUAAGCAUUUUUAACACCUCACUCAUGAUUACAUUUUUCAUUGUCCUACACCAAAAUUUGUAUGACUCAAUAUUAGAGCAUCUGAGACACACUUUGAUACAGAUAGUUAAAGAUUAGUGUACAUGCUGUAUGCUGUGUAACAUCUUUUUAUUUAGGUUAUAUAAUUUGCAAUGGCUUUGACAUAAGCUGCAGUAAUUUUUCAGAAAUGCAAAUUCUGUGAUUUAAAUCUAUUGCAUGUUAGCUUUCAGUUAUGAUUUAAAUCUAUUACAUUUUAGUUUUCAGUUACUAAAGAUAAUGCCAAACAUUUUAUUUAAUGACUGUCAUGUUUUUCUUUUUUCUUUGUGUGGAUUCAGUAUUUAUCCGUGUUUAUUCAUGAGUGUUUCAUUGCGAUACUCAGCAUCCUGUGUAACACACAUUAAAAUUGCCAAGCUGCGAGAGAGACAUGCUAAUGAAUGUGGACUGCAGCCGUAGUUAUAAUUUUGAUGAUUGCCUACUCUUAAUUAUCAGUUGUUACAGACAGUAUGGGAAAAAAGAGGGUGAAAAAGAAAGAAGAUUUUUUCAUAUUAAGCAACAGUAUUACCUGUAUUAGAUUGUAUUGUCUUAAAUGUGAUAAUAACUUAUUUAUCAAUGUCACCACUGAGAAGAUUACUUUUUAAUCUCGAAACUGAGCAGUGCUCUGAAACUGUGCUGUGUUAUGAACAUAAAUUGUCCAUAAUAGACAAAUAAAUAAUGCCAAAACAAAUGUAAGGGCUAUGUUCCUCAAACUCAUUAACUCAAGUUGAAAUUUACAGAUGUAUCUUUCAUGUGUGUGUUCAUGUUAUAGACUGUUACUCAUGUGCCUUGGUUAAAGUAUUUUUAUGACUGUAAUAUUUAUUUUAAUAAUUUUUACUGUAAAUAUUUAUUUGAAGAGUAGAAAAUGUGGACCCCCAAGUUAUGGUCUUUUGGAAAAAUUAGUGCAAAAGCUGCAGAACAUAAACAAAGCAUUGGUGUAAAAUCUAGGAAAGAAUAUGAUAUGUAAAUGAGAAUAUAUUGUUACUUACCAGAUAGCAGGGAUGUUGACCAGUGGAAAUCAGUGUAUAAAAGAAGAAAUUGCUUAACUUCUGUCCAGUCAUCCCCCCUCCCCUCCCUCUCAUGCGCGUGUUUGGUGUCAUGCCCACUGUAAGUUCCACGUGCCUCUAUGCGUGUUUUCCAUGUGGUGAGUGGCAAUCUAUCCUUAUUGGCAUAUCACAGAACAUUAUAUAACAAAUGUAUUCAUUAUAUUUGUUUCUUUUAAAAGCUGUAUCCAAAUACUUGCUGCCUGAACAAUAUGUGUUGCUUGAAACAAGCUCUAACUGUAAAAUAUACUGAUACACAAUUCUGAGUCUGCAUUUUUUUUAUUUUUUUUAUUUUGCAGUUAUAUUGCAUCUUGUAGCGUUAAAACAAAAUAAAAGACUUUUGGAUAUACGAUCA
Molecule: RNA transcript, 4921 nt
Organism: Schistocerca serialis cubense
Lineage: Eukaryota; Metazoa; Arthropoda; Insecta; Orthoptera; Acrididae
Gene: Pfk
Gene name: ATP-dependent 6-phosphofructokinase
Exons: 19
Source: RefSeq, a predicted model, not a curated record